This 875-nucleotide unclassified non-coding RNA is filed under the name Penaeus chinensis. RNAcentral describes it as "uncharacterized LOC125036306, transcript variant X11". Lineage: Eukaryota; Metazoa; Arthropoda; Malacostraca; Decapoda; Penaeidae. The record is from RNAcentral.
GCUCAGCAUUGUGGCGCCAAACCCCACACUUUGAGGCUGACUGAAUGAAAGAAAAGUUACUCAGGUAGGCCUGGAUAAAGGUCGCGAAGUCCCAGUCCUCAUUAUCACUGGCUUUUUUUUUCUUCUAAAUGUGGCUGCUAUCAGUUAUUUUAGCUGCUGUGGAUAUUAUAACAGAAAUGAUGAAACUGAGAAACACUGAACACAGAAAGUCUCAGCAUCAGAUUCGCUCGAACGGUCGAGGAAAGAGAUUUGACCUUGUAAACAUGGUGAAAUGUGUUGUAUACUUCCAGGGUAGAGAAGGAAAUGAACCUGAUGCUGGUGGAUUUGCAAGCACCCAGUCUUCGCUUCUCCUAACAGCCCAGAAGAAUGGAGGAGGUGGAUCAUUUCCCUCAAACGCCAUGACACAGGAUGGUACCCAGUCCAGACCUUCGGGAAAACAACAGCAGCGUGAUAUUUUGAAAUCUGAUGCUGUUCCUUUGAUCUUCAACUGCCACCCAGAUUCACCUACAGACAAAAUGUUUGUUGUCAAGAUGCAAUAAUGAACAGCGACCAGACGUUAAUCUUCCCUUAUUGUGAGCAGCCUUGGCCCUUGCAACAUGGGUAUAAAGGGAAAAUAAUACUGUGGUUAAAAUUCAAGUUCACUUUUCAGAAGAACAAACCGAAGAUAUUCUUAUUUCAGCCUAAGUCCCUUAUACACCCAACCUCGUCAUUCCUGCAUCAUUAUCAAAUCCAUCAUUUUUUAUUUAUUCACUUUUUCAUAUUCAUGAAAUGAUUAGUAUCAUUGUACUGUUGAAGCGCUUUGAAUGUUGUUCGCUUUGGCCUAUGAUCGUGACUGAAUCUGAGCGAGAGUGAAUGAUCAUGAUGAGAGUAUUGUA